RNAcentral lists this ribosomal RNA (416 nucleotides) under uncultured eukaryote. RNAcentral describes it as "bacterial SSU rRNA". It matches the Rfam family "Eukaryotic small subunit ribosomal RNA", at positions 592 to 1017 of the family's 1831-position model. The record is from RNAcentral.
UAAUAGCGUAUAUUAAAGUUGUUGCAGUUAAAAAGCUCGUAGUCGGAUGUCGGGCUCGGGCAGGCUGUCGGCUUCGGUCGGACGGCAGGCUCGGGUCUUUCUGCCUGAGGAUCCCGUUGCACUUAAUUGUGGGGCGUGGGGACGCAGGCCGUUUACUUUGAAAAAAUUAGAGUGUUCAAAGCAGGCUGACCGCUUGAAUACAUGAGCAUGGAAUAAUGGAAUAGGACUUUGGUUCUAUUUUGUUGGUUUCUUGAACCGAAGUAAUGAUUAAGAGGGACAGUUGGGGGCAUUCGUAUUUCGUUGUCAGAGGUGAAAUUCUUGGAUUUACGAAAGACGAACAACUGCGAAAGCAUUUGCCAAGAAUGUUUUCAUUAAUCAAGAACGAAAGUUAGAGGCUCGAAGAUGAUUAGAUACCA